CUAUCCUGCGGAUAUCCUGAAAUAAAACCAUCAGGACAAAAAACGUGCUUUUUAAUUUUGGCCAUGUGAUUAGACCAACGGCUGAGAUUAAAAUUUGGUAGCCGAAGACGGACAGAGAAGCAAGAGCAAGAGGGAGGUGGGAGGUAGCUUAGGCAUGAGUCGUGGCGGGGUUACCAGAUGGAUUUGUUUCUAAAUUCUAACAUUCUUUCCUUUACUUCACCUCGUGAUGCGUGUAGCUCGGCGGUCUCCACCAAGUUCCGGUCAGCAGCAGAGUCAGACACUGCCAUGGCAAAUGGGAGGAUAUCAUUUCAAGGUCUGUUUCUCCACUUCAGUUUUCUUCAAACAAACCUCUCUACUGUCAUAUUUUUCCAAUCCCCUUCUAUUGCUCGAUCAAGGUAAUAAGGUACUCUUUUCUUUUCCCUUCUAAAAAUCCCCUUUUCUUAUUAUUAUUAUUUCUCUUUUUAUUAUAGAUUUUAGAUUCUAAGAGAACCAAUAUAUAUAUAUUUUUUAUUUGUUUAUUUGUGGCGUUUUGUUUAUCUGGGGUUAUGUAGGGAACACUUGUUCAACAAAAAGGACAGGCUAUUUAGGAAAGGAAAAGAAAAAUAAAAAAUAAAAAAUUGGAAGUUGGGUUUUACAAGGAACUGGAAAAAAGUAAAAGAUUGAUGGAAUAAUCCUUAUAAAACUUUUAAAUAAAAAUUGGUUUUCCCCAAGAAGUGCAAAUUUCUUUGUUGGAUGGAGGAAAAAAAAAAAAAAAAAGGAAAAAACUAUUUAUUUAUUUUUAUUAUUAUUUUUUGUUCAGAAUGAAAACAACUAAUUUGAUUAUUUCACUUUGCUAGCUCUAUUAUGACUUUACCAACCAAUCACCAUGUGCCAGGUUUAUCUUAUACCCACCAAUCCCCAGUUCAAGUUGACCGCCCUUGGUUUAUAAUUUAAUUUACCUCUACAUUUUUGCAGAAAGAAAUUCAAGUUAGAAAAUACCAAUUAACAUUUGGUGAUGGACCCUUUAUGAACUCCCCUGUGUCUGAUUCAGAAACUGGUCCUUUUAAAUUUUAUGAAAGAAUGUCAUCUGUAGAAACUUUGGCAUAUAAUUGAAGCUGAAAUGUUAAGUGUUUUAUUUGAUAUGAUGAAUUAUACUUCACCUUUUUUUAUGCAGAGUUUUGCAUUGGAUAAAGUUAGUAGCAAAAUAUGCUAUAUGAUGGUGGUAACCCUUUCUUCUAUAGCUAUCUGUAGAUCUCAUAUUGCUAAUAAAAUGAACAGAGAUAGAGUAUAAGAAAGAUCACAUACAUAUACAACUAGCAUGUGCACUCAUUUGAAAGCUAUGCUUUAUUAUGUUGUACUAUCUUCUUAGUUAUAAAUUCGAUAGAUAUAUUAUAUAUUUCUUCCUUGUUUUUCAAUUUUCUUAAUUAUCUGGCUAAAACUUCAGCAUUCUAAGUAACAACACUUCUGCUAGUUUUUUCGGAUCAUGCCAGCACAAGAUUUUAUAUGUACUUAUUGAGUCACAGCUUGAUGUCGAAAGGACAGAGACUUCCUCAGCAACAAACAUAUGGAGCUUAAUCAUACCCUUGUGUUUAAGCUUGAAGAGGGCAGAUCUGGGUUUAUGACAAAAACCCUGCAUCCAUGUUGAGUUUGUGUACAUAUCGAUUUCGAAGUCCUCACAUGAAGUCAACCGCAGUGGGUGUAUGCACAGCAUGUUUACCUUUGACAUUUUUGACAGGCCAUGUGAAGAUAGAAGAGAUGGGUGGAGAGAAAUUGAGAGAUGGGUUAGUUUCCUUUCCUUCAUAAAAAUGGAGAGGAUGUCACAGUCACAGUGUGCUGCAUUAAUGAAUUUACUACGACCGUGGACUCAAUUGUAAAAAUUUGUAGAAAAACCAUGUAAAAAAUGGGUGUACCAGAAUCCAUUCGAUUUUAUCUCUAUUUCAUAAUUAUCCAUAGGUUAGCCUAUUAAAUACAUUCUAAUUACUUCUCUAUUAGAUUAUUGCAUGCAGAUCUAUGAUAUGGAAAUGCAAAUAAUCCACGUCAUUGGUACAGUUGUUGAA
Molecule: long non-coding RNA, 2036 nt
Organism: Ziziphus jujuba (common jujube)
Lineage: Eukaryota; Viridiplantae; Streptophyta; Magnoliopsida; Rosales; Rhamnaceae
Exons: 2
Source: RefSeq, a predicted model, not a curated record